AUUGAACGCUGGCGGCAUGCCUUACACAUGCAAGUCGAACGGUAACGCGGGGCAACCUGGCGACGAGUGGCGAACGGGUGAGUAAUGUAUCGGAACGUGCCCAGUUGUGGGGGAUAACUGCUCGAAAGAGCAGCUAAUACCGCAUACGACCUGAGGGUGAAAGCGGGGGAUCGCAAGACCUCGCGCAAUUGGAGCGGCCGAUACCAGAUUAGGUAGUUGGUGGGGUAAAGGCUCACCAAGCCGACGAUCUGUAGCUGGUCUGAGAGGCCGACCAGCCACACUGGGACUGAGACACGGCCCAAACUCCUACGGGAGGCAGCGGUGGGGAAUUUUGGACAAUGGACGCAAGUCUGAUCCAGCCAUGCCGCGUGCGGGAAGAAGGCCUUCGGGUUGUAAACCGCUUUUGUCAGGGAAGAAACGCUCUGGGUUAAUACCUCGGGGUAAUGACGGUACCUGAAGAAUAAGCACCGGCUAACUACGUGCCAGCCGCCGCCGUAA
RNAcentral lists this ribosomal RNA (498 nucleotides) under uncultured bacterium. Its description in RNAcentral is "partial 16S ribosomal RNA". It matches the Rfam family "Bacterial small subunit ribosomal RNA", at positions 29 to 523 of the family's 1533-position model. The record is from RNAcentral.